UGAUCCCUUCCCCACACAGGUCCUGCUGAUGAAGAGGAGGUGAGCCCCGAGCUGUAGCUCCCACUCUGUGCUGCUCCCUGCGGGACCUUCCUCCUCCUCCUCCUCCUCCUCCUCCUCCGUGCCCGAUCCCGCCGCGGGGCCGCCCCGAUGCCGAAGAACAGCAAGGUGACGCAGCGGGAGCACAGCAGCGAGCAUGUCACCGAGUCGGUGGCCGACCUGCUGGCCCACCAGGAGCCCGUGGACUACAAACGCAGCGUCCUCAACGUGACAGGGGACGCGUGGGACAAGCAGAAGGAGGGGGACGAGGACCUGGAGGCGGAGAACCGGCCGGCGUGGAACAGCAAGCUGCAAUACAUCCUGGCGCAGAUCGGCUACUCCGUGGGGCUGGGCAACGUCUGGCGCUUCCCCUACCUCUGCCAGAAGAAUGGAGGAGGUGAGACAUGGGCAGGGAUGGGCUUGGGGUUUGAAAUGGGGCAGGGAUGGCCUCGGGUUUUGUGUUGCUGAAAUGGCUCCUGAGGUAUUAAAGCAUCUUUUUCCCAACCC
This is a non-coding RNA of Zonotrichia albicollis (white-throated sparrow), 543 nucleotides long. Lineage: Eukaryota; Metazoa; Chordata; Aves; Passeriformes; Passerellidae. The record is from RefSeq and is a predicted model, not a curated record.